RNAcentral lists this ribosomal RNA (1375 nucleotides) under Bacillus tequilensis. Its description in RNAcentral is "bacterial SSU rRNA". It matches the Rfam family "Bacterial small subunit ribosomal RNA", at positions 79 to 1440 of the family's 1533-position model. Lineage: Bacteria; Bacillati; Bacillota; Bacilli; Caryophanales; Bacillaceae. The record is from RNAcentral.
CUUGCUCCCUGAUGUUAGCGGCGGACGGGUGAGUAACACGUGGGUAACCUGCCUGUAAGACUGGGAUAACUCCGGGAAACCGGGGCUAAUACCGGAUGGUUGUUUGAACCGCAUGGUUCAAACAUAAAAGGUGGCUUCGGCUACCACUUACAGAUGGACCCGCGGCGCAUUAGCUAGUUGGUGAGGUAACGGCUCACCAAGGCAACGAUGCGUAGCCGACCUGAGAGGGUGAUCGGCCACACUGGGACUGAGACACGGCCCAGACUCCUACGGGAGGCAGCAGUAGGGAAUCUUCCGCAAUGGACGAAAGUCUGACGGAGCAACGCCGCGUGAGUGAUGAAGGUUUUCGGAUCGUAAAGCUCUGUUGUUAGGGAAGAACAAGUACCGUUCGAAUAGGGCGGUACCUUGACGGUACCUAACCAGAAAGCCACGGCUAACUACGUGCCAGCAGCCGCGGUAAUACGUAGGUGGCAAGCGUUGUCCGGAAUUAUUGGGCGUAAAGGGCUCGCAGGCGGUUUCUUAAGUCUGAUGUGAAAGCCCCCGGCUCAACCGGGGAGGGUCAUUGGAAACUGGGGAACUUGAGUGCAGAAGAGGGAGUGGAAUUCCACGUGUAGCGGUGAAAUGCGUAGAGAUGUGGAGGAACACCAGUGGCGAAGGCGACUCUCUGGUCUGUAACUGACGCUGAGGAGCGAAAGCGUGGGGAGCGAACAGGAUUAGAUACCCUGGUAGUCCACGCCGUAAACGAUGAGUGCUAAGUGUUAGGGGGUUUCCGCCCCUUAGUGCUGCAGCUAACGCAUUAAGCACUCCGCCUGGGGAGUACGGUCGCAAGACUGAAACUCAAAGGAAUUGACGGGGGCCCGCACAAGCGGUGGAGCAUGUGGUUUAAUUCGAAGCAACGCGAAGAACCUUACCAGGUCUUGACAUCCUCUGACAAUCCUAGAGAUAGGACGUCCCCUUCGGGGGCAGAGUGACAGGUGGUGCAUGGUUGUCGUCAGCUCGUGUCGUGAGAUGUUGGGUUAAGUCCCGCAACGAGCGCAACCCUUGAUCUUAGUUGCCAGCAUUCAGUUGGGCACUCUAAGGUGACUGCCGGUGACAAACCGGAGGAAGGUGGGGAUGACGUCAAAUCAUCAUGCCCCUUAUGACCUGGGCUACACACGUGCUACAAUGGACAGAACAAAGGGCAGCGAAACCGCGAGGUUAAGCCAAUCCCACAAAUCUGUUCUCAGUUCGGAUCGCAGUCUGCAACUCGACUGCGUGAAGCUGGAAUCGCUAGUAAUCGCGGAUCAGCAUGCCGCGGUAAAUACGUUCCCGGGCCUUGUACACACCGCCCGUCACACCACGAGAGUUUGUAACACCCGAAGUCGGUGAGGUAACC